RNAcentral lists this ribosomal RNA (496 nucleotides) under uncultured bacterium. RNAcentral describes it as "partial 16S ribosomal RNA". It matches the Rfam family "Bacterial small subunit ribosomal RNA", at positions 29 to 507 of the family's 1533-position model. The record is from RNAcentral.
AUGAACGCUGGCGGCGUGCCUAAUACAUGCAAGUCGAGCGCACGGACGAGAAGCUUGCUUUUCUGAUGUUAGCGGCGGACGGGUGAGUAACACGUGGAUAACCUACCUAUAAGACUGGGAUAACUUCGGGAAACCGGAGCUAAUACCGGAUAAUAUUUUGAACCGCGUGGUUCAAAAGUGAAAGACGGUCUUGCUGUCACUUAUAGAUGGAUCCGCGCUGCAUUAGCUAGUUGGUAAGGUAACGGCUUACCAAGGCAACGAUGCAUAGCCGACCUGAGAGGGUGAUCGGCCACACUGGAACUGAGACACGGUCCAGACUCCUACGGGAGGCAGCAGUAGGGAAUCUUCCGCAAUGGGCGAAAGCCUGACGGAGCAACGCCGCGUGAGUGAUGAAGGUCUUCGGAUCGUAAAACUCUGUUAUUAGGGAAGAACAUAUGUGUAAGUAACUGUGCACAUCUUGACGGUACCUAAUCAGAAAGCCACGGCUAACUACGUG